Pongo pygmaeus (Bornean orangutan) is the source of this 2124-nucleotide long non-coding RNA. RefSeq lists it as uncharacterized. The transcript has 3 exons. The record is from RefSeq and is a predicted model, not a curated record. NCBI's taxonomy places the organism in Eukaryota, Metazoa, Chordata, Mammalia, Primates, Hominidae.
CAGGAGAAAGAGGAGAGUCACGUCAUCUAGGAGACGGGCCCAGAGAUACGUGACAAUGACACCCCGUGGGCAGGGACCAGGCAGAAGAAUAACAUUGCCCUUGUGCUGGGCCCAGCAAUAUGCCACCCUCUAUUCUGUGGGCAGGUCCAGUUAGAAGAGGAGAGUCCCAUCACCUUGGUGCUGGGCCCAGCAAUAUGUCACAGUGCCUUCUUCAGGGCAGGGCCAAGGCAAAUGUGUAACUUCAACUUGGUGUUGGGGCCAGCAAUAGGUCACAAUCUCCCCUGUGGGCAGAACCUAAGAAGAAGAGAAAAGUCACAUGAGUUAGAUUUAUUAAGGUUUCUACAAGUAUAACUUCUACUGGUUUAGGAGAUUUAGUUAUAAAUCUCCUUUUCAUUCUUUUGGUGGUUACACUUGAGCUUUGAGGAUACAUUCUUUAUUUCAAAAUGUCUAAAGUUGGUCUAUAAUUUCCACUUUUGGUCAACAAGUGUAAGAACUUUGAUACUGUUUCUUGAAACUCGAAUUACUCACUCUCCUCAUUUUGCAUGUUUCUUCCUACCUGAUGUUUCAGUUCACCUUGUUUCUAUAUUUAAUUUUUUCUUGCUUGAUAUACUCUAUCCUGACAACUUUCUUUUUCUCUGUUUUCAUGUUUGUCUUAAUUAUUUCUUCAGGAUUAAGUUUAUUUCACCAUGAAGCAUACAUUUUGUUAGUUCUUUCAGUCUUUGAGUGGUUAACUUAGCUUUGCUCAGAAACAUCUUUAUUUGAAUAACCUUCAGUUCUCAUGCUCACCUUGUAGAUAGUCUUAUGGGUUCUGUUAUUAUAAAGAGAAGUCUCCCUAUCCUUCCUGUGCAGAUACUCUGGCUAGUUUUCUCUUGUGGGUUGCAGUUUCAUCAGUGGUUCUCGGUCUGGAUUUAUUUUCAUUCAUUCUGCUUGGUGCUCAUUAUAAUUCCCACAUGUGCAGAGAAUAGGACUAGGAGUGAGUUGCCUAAAGAGAGGCUAUUGUGAUUGAAAACCAAGUCCUGAGAUCAGCUCCAUGCAUCACAACCUAAUUGCAUUUAUUCCUGUCCUACUUAAUAAACUACUAUCUCUGGAAAUUAAGAUUGAGGCCAUAAUUUAUUUUUAGCUACAAAGAGAAAGCUGGCCUGCAAGGUGGGAAGACAGGAAAAAAAUCUAAAGAGCUGUUGGCUUGGGGGCAUCAAGGAGCCUGGGAGAUAGGCCACAGUCCUGGGUUGUUUUCCCAGCCUGACACACAUGCCAAGACCCUCAAACAAAGACUAGCUGGUCAUCAGCUCCUCAAAAAUGCGGCAGCCUCCAUGCUGAUUGGGUCAGCAAGAGCUAAAAGGAGAACCUGUGCUCAGUCAAUAAGGAAUGCCCUUACCAUCAGAUGCCUGCUUGCUUGAAAAGAAAAUUGAGAUAAGUUCAUAGUCAAGCUUUAUCAAGACAUACCAUUGACUUCUUUUGCUUCAGAACGUGAGCCCUCUCUAUCACUGACUGGCAGGCACUGCCCGUAUUUCUGAUCCUGACUCCUUUAGGAAGCCUAAAUGUGCUUAAUCUGAAGUGCCCUAUUCCUAUUCCCCUCAUUGACCGAGAUAGGACCUGCUCUAUCUCAUCAGGAAACACGGACUGCAUUUUAUAGCUUGAUGGUGUCAGCAUGUCUCAGCAAUAAAAACUGCUGUUCUCAAUGUCACCAAUCACAUGGAUGUCACAAAUCACUUGCAAAGUCAACAGACUCUUGUCUGCCUGCACAGUCUUCAGAAAAUGUGUCCAGUUGAAUUCAAAGCAGGGCAUUCUAAUUAGAACAAUGUACAGAAGGAAAGGAGGUAUGACAGUCUGAGAGGAGUUUGAGGAACAGAAAGUAGACAGAUGCACUCAACCACAGAUCCUUCUGACCCGAAGGUUUAUGCACCUUGAGGACUGCUGAACACUGUGACACAACUAGCUGGUGCAUCUAAGAGACUGGCUGGGGCAGCAGCUUUGAAUACUUCUCCAGCUACCACAGAGACUGCAAGACAUCCAUUCAGGCACAACUUAUUUUAUCAGCAAGCCUUCUGCAAGCCGUUCCCAAAAAGAGAAAUGAGCUGUGGCCUGGAAAGGAUGAGAAUAAAGGGACACAGUUUGCUGCCGGUG